GACAUGGUUUGAUGUGUGUUCGGUACCACAUAACAUGCGAGAAUACCUUCUCCGGUAUGUUGGAGAGAAGAUUAGCAAGAAAAAAUCGCGUGAGAAAAUGAGAAGUUGACAGAAAAAGAUUUUUUUCAUUAUCGAAAGGGACAUGUACAACAUCCAUAAUGGUGUGUCUGAUGGAAUUCGUCAUUUCAUUAAUAAAUAAUGCUGAUAAAGAUGCAAACUUAGCAAUUGUGCCUAAAAAGUGCCAGCUUUGACAAGGAAA
Saccostrea echinata is the source of this 259-nucleotide long non-coding RNA. RefSeq lists it as uncharacterized. The transcript has 3 exons. NCBI's taxonomy places the organism in Eukaryota, Metazoa, Mollusca, Bivalvia, Ostreida, Ostreidae. The record is from RefSeq and is a predicted model, not a curated record.